UGGGGAAUUUUGGACAAUGGGCGAAAGCCUGAUCCAGCAAUGCCGCGUGUGUGAAGAAGGCCUUCGGGUUGUAAAGCACUUUUGUCCGGAAAGAAAUCCUUGGCUCUAAUACAGUCGGGGGAUGACGGUACCGGAAGAAUAAGCACCGGCUAACUACGUGCCAGCAGCCGCGGUAAUACGUAGGGUGCAAGCGUUAAUCGGAAUUACUGGGCGUAAAGCGUGCGCAGGCGGUUUGCUAAGACCGAUGUGAAAUCCCCGGGCUCAACCUGGGAACUGCAUUGGUGACUGGCAGGCUAGAGUAUGGCAGAGGGGGGUAGAAUUCCACGUGUAGCAGUGAAAUGCGUAGAGAUGUGGAGGAAUACCGAUGGCGAAGGCAGCCCCCUGGGCCAAUACUGACGCUCAUGCACGAAAGCGUGGGGAGCAAACAGGAUUAGAUACCCUGGUAGUCCACGCCCUAAACGAUGUCAACUAGUUGUUGGGGAUUCAUUUCCUUAGUAACGUAGCUAACGCGUGAAGUUGACCGCCUGGGGAGUACGGUCGCAAGAUUAAAGCUCAAAGGAAUUGAC
This 566-nucleotide ribosomal RNA is filed under the name uncultured bacterium. RNAcentral's name for it is "partial 16S ribosomal RNA". It matches the Rfam family "Bacterial small subunit ribosomal RNA", at positions 355 to 914 of the family's 1533-position model. The record is from RNAcentral.